CCGUACGCUGGGCUGUAAUUUAUGAAACUGAUCCCCGGAUCCAGCCAAUCACUUAGCUCCUCAUAACAAGUCUAACUGGCUCUGGAAAGCAGAAAGGGCUGCACUAGAGCAACAAGGAUGAGAUAUUCCACACAACAACCUGCUUAUCUGGAAUCACUUUCCCUUGCAAGGCCAGAGAAAAAUCCCAGCUUCAUUGUCUGAGAGAAGCAGGACAGAGGAGCUGCAGAAAUGCGACUUCACCUGGAGUCU
Vicugna pacos (alpaca) is the source of this 249-nucleotide non-coding RNA. The record is from Rfam. NCBI's taxonomy places the organism in Eukaryota, Metazoa, Chordata, Mammalia, Artiodactyla, Camelidae.